CCCCUUGUAGCUCAGUUGGCAGAGCGGGAGACUGUAGUGGUUCCACUGCCAAAGGCAUCUCUAGGUCACUGGUUCGAAUCCGGUCGAGGGGA
This 92-nucleotide transfer RNA is filed under the name Tetradesmus obliquus. RNAcentral describes it as "tRNA-Tyr". It matches the Rfam family "tRNA". Rfam says of the family: Transfer RNA (tRNA) molecules are approximately 80 nucleotides in length. Their secondary structure includes four short double-helical elements and three loops (D, anti-codon, and T loops). Lineage: Eukaryota; Viridiplantae; Chlorophyta; Chlorophyceae; Sphaeropleales; Scenedesmaceae. The record is from RNAcentral.